GGGGGGGUGGGGGGGGGUGGAUAGACAACAGGGAUGCCCUAGUAACGGCGAGUGAAGCGGCAACAGCUCAAAUUUGAAAUCUGGCGUCUUCGGCGUCCGAGUUGUAAUUUGCAGAGGGCGCUUUGGCAUUGGCAGCGGUCCAAGUUCCUUGGAACAGGACGUCACAGAGGGUGAGAAUCCCGUACGUGGUCGCUAGCCUUUACCGUGUAAAGCCCCUUCGACGAGUCGAGUUGUUUGGGAAUGCAGCUCUAAAUGGGAGGUAAAUUUCUUCUAAAGCUAAAUACUGGCCAGAGACCGAUAGCGCACAAGUAGAGUGAUCGAAAGAUGAAAAGCACUUUGGAAAGAGAGUUAAAAAGCACGUGAAAUUGUUGAAAGGGAAGCGCUUGCAGCCAGACUUGCCUGUAGUUGCUCAUCCGGGUUUUUACCCGGUGCACUCUUCUAUAGGCAGGCCAGCAUCAGUUUGGGCGGUUGGAUAAAGGUCUCUGUCAUGUACCUCUCUUCGGGGAGAACUUAUAGGGGAGACGACAUGCAACCAGCCUGGACUGAGGUCCGCGCAUCUGCUAGGAUGCUGGCGUAAUGGCUGUAAGCGGCCCGUCUUGAAACACGGACCAAGGAGUCUAACAUCUAUGCGAGUGUUUGGGUGUCAAGCCCGAGCGCGUAAUGAAAGUGAACGGAGGUGGGAACCUUUCGGGGUGCACCAUCGACCGAUCCUGAUGUCUUCGGAUGGAUUUGAGUAAGAGCAUAGCUGUUGGGACCCGAAAGAUGGUGAACUAUGCUUGAAUAGGGUGAAGCCAGAGGAAACUCUGGUGGAGCUCGCAGCGGUUUCUGACGUGCAAAUCGAUCGUCAAAUUUGGGCAUAGGGGGCGAAAGGACUGAUCGAACUAUCUAGUAGCUGGUUCCUGCCGAUCUC
This 910-nucleotide ribosomal RNA is filed under the name Neopestalotiopsis sp. RNAcentral describes it as "partial large subunit ribosomal RNA". It matches the Rfam family "Eukaryotic large subunit ribosomal RNA", at positions 40 to 968 of the family's 3401-position model. The record is from RNAcentral. Lineage: Eukaryota; Fungi; Ascomycota; Sordariomycetes; Amphisphaeriales; Sporocadaceae.